GUCAACGUAGCUUAAUACCAAAGCAUGACACUGAAGAUGUCAAGAUGAAUCCUAAAAAAUUUCGAUGACA
Molecule: transfer RNA, 70 nt
Filed under: Cynoponticus ferox (Guinea pike conger)
Lineage: Eukaryota; Metazoa; Chordata; Actinopteri; Anguilliformes; Muraenesocidae
Description: tRNA-Phe
Rfam family: tRNA
About the family: Transfer RNA (tRNA) molecules are approximately 80 nucleotides in length.
Source: RNAcentral